GACGAACGCUGGCGGCGUGCUUAACACAUGCAAGUCGAACGGAAAGGCCCUGCUUUUGUGGGGUGCUCGAGUGGCGAACGGGUGAGUAACACGUGAGUAACCUGCCCUUGACUUUGGGAUAACUUCAGGAAACUGGGGCUAAUACCGGAUAGGAGCUCCUGCUGCAUGGUGGGGGUUGGAAAGUUUCGGCGGUUGGGGAUGGACUCGCGGCUUAUCAGCUUGUUGGUGGGGUAGUGGCUUACCAAGGCUUUGACGGGUAGCCGGCCUGAGAGGGUGACCGGCCACAGGGGGAGGGAGUUCGGGCCCGGCCUCGGCCGGGAGACGGAGGGGGGAAUGAUGGACCAUGGGCGGGAGGCUGAACGCGCAACGCCCCGGUGGGGGAGGGGGGCUUGGGGUUGGUAAACCGUUUCCGCCGGUGACGAGGGGGGAGUGACGGUAAGGGGAAAAGAAGCCCGGGCUAACUACGUG
RNAcentral lists this ribosomal RNA (468 nucleotides) under uncultured bacterium. Its description in RNAcentral is "partial 16S ribosomal RNA". It matches the Rfam family "Bacterial small subunit ribosomal RNA", at positions 28 to 507 of the family's 1533-position model. The record is from RNAcentral.